Long non-coding RNA from Neltuma alba, 389 nucleotides. RefSeq lists it as uncharacterized. The record is from RefSeq and is a predicted model, not a curated record. Lineage: Eukaryota; Viridiplantae; Streptophyta; Magnoliopsida; Fabales; Fabaceae. The transcript is spliced from 3 exons.
CAAUUGAUAGCAACAAUCAUGUAAAUUGCGAAGGCUUAAAAUCAACAAAGCGGAAUAUCUCCUCCGACUAGUUUGGUAACAGAGAAAGGAUCUUCCCUGUAAGAUUUGUCCUCCGACUAGUUGUCCAAUUCAAAUGGCUCGUAUUCUUGUAGUGAUUCAAAUUCAACAAAAAAGGUAAGGUUCUCUCCAUCUUUAGUUUCUUUUUAAAUGGUUAGUCCUACUUGCUCUCCAAUUCAACAGACAUUCUACCAUGCGCUGGGAGCUUGAUGGAUUUUAUCUAAAGAAGUUGAAAGUAGCUUAUGUGAAUAUUGAUGGACUUGUAACAAAGUAUUCCUUUAAUGUGAGGCAAAACAUAUUUGUAUAGUUGCUUAGUGAAUUCAGAUAUGGAG